Molecule: ribosomal RNA, 356 nt
Filed under: uncultured Desulfobulbus sp.
Lineage: Bacteria; Pseudomonadati; Thermodesulfobacteriota; Desulfobulbia; Desulfobulbales; Desulfobulbaceae
Description: bacterial SSU rRNA
Rfam family: Bacterial small subunit ribosomal RNA
Source: RNAcentral
UCUGGAGACAGGUGCUGCAUGGCUGUCGUCAGCUCGUGUCGUGAGAUGUUGGGUUAAGUCCCGCAACGAGCGCAACCCUUGCCUUUAGUUGCCAGCAGUUCGGCUGGGCACUCUAAAGGGACUGCCGGUGUUAAACCGGAGGAAGGUGGGGAUGACGUCAAGUCCUCAUGGCCUUUAUGACCAGGGCUACACACGUACUACAAUGGCCGAUACAAAGGGCAGCGACACUGCGAGGUGAAGCCAAUCCCGUAAAAUCGGUCUCAGUCCGGAUUGGAGUCUGCAACUCGACUCCAUGAAGUUGGAAUCGCUAGUAAUCGUGGAUCAGCAUGCCACGGUGAAUACGUUCCCGGGCCGUU